GCCGGGCAUGGUGGCACAUGCUUGUGGUCCCAGCUACUAGGGAGGCUGAGGUAGGAUGAUUGCUUGAGCCCAGGAGGUCGAGGCUGCAGUGAGCCAAGAUUGCACCACUGCACUCCAGCCUGGGCAACAGAGAAAGAUCCUGUCUCAA
Molecule: unclassified non-coding RNA, 148 nt
Organism: Pongo abelii (Sumatran orangutan)
Lineage: Eukaryota; Metazoa; Chordata; Mammalia; Primates; Hominidae
Rfam family: Metazoan signal recognition particle RNA
About the family: The signal recognition particle (SRP) is a universally conserved ribonucleoprotein.
Source: Ensembl